Molecule: ribosomal RNA, 254 nt
Filed under: uncultured bacterium
Lineage: Bacteria
Description: partial 16S ribosomal RNA
Rfam family: Bacterial small subunit ribosomal RNA
Source: RNAcentral
UACGUAGGGGGCAAGCGUUGUCCGGAUUCAUUGGGCGUAAAGAGCUCGUAGGCGGUUCGGCAAGUCGGGUGUGAAAACUCCAGGCUCAACCUGGAGACGCCACCCGAUACUGCUGUGACUUGAGUCCGGUAGGGGACCACGGAAUUCCUGGUGUAGCGGUGAAAUGCGCAGAUAUCAGGAGGAACACCGGUGGCGAAGGCGGUGGUCUGGGCCGGCACCGACUCUGAGGAGCGAAAGCGUGGGGAGCGAACAGG